AACGAACGCUGGCGGCAUGCCUAACACAUGCAAGUCGAACGAGACCUUCGGGUCUAGUGGCGCACGGGUGCGUAACGCGUGGGAACCUGCCCUUAGGUUCGGAAUAACUCCCCGAAAGGGGUGCUAAUACCGGAUAAUGUCUUCGGACCAAAGAUUUAUCGCCUUUGGAUGGGCCCGCGGUGGAUUAGCUAGUUGGUAGGGUAAAAGCCUACCAAGGCGACGAUCCAUAGCUGGUCUGAGAGGAUGAUCAGCCACACUGGGACUGAGACACGGCCGAGACUCCUACGGGAGGAAGCAGUGGGGAAUAUUGGACAAUGGGCGAAAGCCUGAUCCAGAAAUGCCGCGUGAGUGAUGCAGGCCUUAGGGUUGUAAAGCUCUUUUACCCGGGAUGAUAAUGACAGUACCGGGAGAAUAAGCUCCGGCUAACUACGUG
RNAcentral lists this ribosomal RNA (433 nucleotides) under uncultured bacterium. Its description in RNAcentral is "partial 16S ribosomal RNA". It matches the Rfam family "Bacterial small subunit ribosomal RNA", at positions 29 to 507 of the family's 1533-position model. The record is from RNAcentral.